GCUGAGUGUGGUGGCAUUCACCUGUAGUCCCAGCUACUCAGGAAGUUAAGGAGGGAGGAUCACUUGAGCCCAGGAGUUUAAGGUGUAGUGCACUAUGAUCUUGCUGGUGAAUAGCCACUGCAUUUCAGCCUGGGCAACACAGUGAGAUCCCAUCUUUA
This 158-nucleotide non-coding RNA is filed under the name Nomascus leucogenys (northern white-cheeked gibbon). Lineage: Eukaryota; Metazoa; Chordata; Mammalia; Primates; Hylobatidae. The record is from Rfam by way of RNAcentral.